Molecule: ribosomal RNA, 774 nt
Filed under: uncultured Neocallimastigales
Lineage: Eukaryota; Fungi; Neocallimastigomycota; Neocallimastigomycetes; Neocallimastigales
Description: partial large subunit ribosomal RNA
Rfam family: Eukaryotic large subunit ribosomal RNA
Source: RNAcentral
GAGAGAGACAUGCGCGCAUAUCAAUAAGCGGAGGAAAAGAAACUAACAAGGAUUCCCUUAGUAACGGCGAGUGAAGCGGGAAGAGCUCAAAUUUGAAAUCUUCAAGGUUUUACCUUGACGAAUUGUAGUUUAAAGAAGUGUUUUCUGCUGAAGUUUUGGUAAAAGUUCUUUGGAAUAGGACAUCAUAGAGGGUGAGAAUCCCGUAUUUGACCAUUAUUUUCCAGCUUUGUGAUACACUUUCAAAGAGUCGGAUUGUUUGGGAAUGCAGUCCAAAAUGGGUGGUAAAUUUCAUCUAAAGCUAAAUAUUGGCGAGAGACCGAUAGCGAACAAGUACCGUGAGGGAAAGAUGAAAAGAACUUUGAAAAGAGAGUUAAACAGUACGUGAAAUUGUCAAAAGGGAAGCGUUUGACACCAGUGUUGUUUUCUCGAAAAUCAAUUAAAAAUGGCUCGAUUUUGUAUUGCUGAGACCUUAAAAGCUCACUGUACAUUUUUCGUGUCUUUUUUAAUGCACUUUUCGUUUAACAAGUCAACAUCAGUUUCUUUUGUUGUAAAAGGGUCAUUGGAAGGUGGCUUUCUUUUCGGAGAAAGUGUUUAUAGCCUUUGGCCUCUGCAAUCGGAGAGAUUGAGGUCUGCAGCGUAGAUCCUUCGGGGUUAGAUACAUUUGUGCUAAGUUAUAGCCUUUCAUAGACAACUUGUUGACUAUGAUCAGUCAUGUAGCUUACUCGCUUAUGCUAUUUUACCUACGCUUAGGAUGUUGAAGAUGUAGCACAUCAU